Taeniopygia guttata (zebra finch) is the source of this 704-nucleotide non-coding RNA. NCBI's taxonomy places the organism in Eukaryota, Metazoa, Chordata, Aves, Passeriformes, Estrildidae. The record is from RefSeq and is a predicted model, not a curated record.
GUUUGUUUCUUUACCACGCACAGAAAGUGCUAGAGUUUUCUUCUUCUCCAAAGAUGAUGAAUGCCUAAGAGGUAAUUGCCUACUAGGAAUCUGGACUUUUACACCUUACCAAAACAUUAGCCCCAUGACAGGUUACUUAGACAUUUUGGAUCCUUUCAGAGGGCCCAAAGUUAUUUUGUAGAUCAGUAGAGUUCAGUGAAGAAAAAGGGUUGGGAAGACUGACGUAGAUUAUUGCUUGAGGAGCAGCUACUUAACUGUAUGUAAAGGAUGUAUUUAAGAGAAGGAGUGAAUUUAGAGACUUCUCCUAAUAGUGGAUUCAGAAACUUCUCUGAAGAAUUUGUUAGAUUUUCAUUUUUUCCCGGAAUGCUGAAGGAAGCAUAGGGACACCAAAUAGAAAUGCAAGGAAACCAAUAAAGUCUUUAGUGAAUAAAACGUGCCAUGUUUGUUCCUUGAAGAAGUCGCCAAACAAUGUUACUUCCAAAACCCUUUCAAAGAUCUAAGAGGAAAAAGUAUUGGCAAACCCUGUUCGGCAGUGUUUCCAAGCUGGGGGUGAUGGCCUUGGGUGCUGGGGAGCCACGGGAAGGCUCCAGUCCUGACUGUCCGGCCAGGCUGGGGCCAUUGAGCUCCAGCUCAUCCCUGGCGGCUCUAAGGGCAAGCAGAAAUGGCAAAGGCCCCCAAGACCCGAUCCAGGCCAGGCCUGGGCA